ACGGGAGGCAGCAGUGGGGAAUAUUGGGCAAUGGGCGCAAGCCUGACCCAGCAAUGCCGCGUGAAGGAUGAAGGUCUUCGGAUUGUAAACUUCUUUGAUUGGGGAAGAAUAAAUGACCUACCCAAAGAACAAGCUCCGGCUAACUACGUGCCAGCAGCCGCGGUAAUACGUAGGGAGCAAGCGUUAUCCGGAUUUACUGGGUGUAAAGGGCGUGUAGGCGGGACAUCAAGUCAGAUGUGAAAGCACGAGGCUCAACUUCGUGUCUGCAUUUGAAACUGACGUUCUUGAGUGUUGGAGAGGCUAACGGAACUCCUAGUGUAGCGGUGAAAUGCGUAGAUAUUAGGAAGAACACCAGUGGCGAAGGCGGUUAGCUGGACAAUAACUGACGCUGAGGCGCGAAAGCGUGGGUAGCAAACAGGAUUAGAUACCCUGGUA
RNAcentral lists this ribosomal RNA (435 nucleotides) under uncultured Oscillospiraceae bacterium. RNAcentral describes it as "bacterial SSU rRNA". It matches the Rfam family "Bacterial small subunit ribosomal RNA", at positions 341 to 792 of the family's 1533-position model. The record is from RNAcentral. Lineage: Bacteria; Bacillati; Bacillota; Clostridia; Eubacteriales; Oscillospiraceae.